Branchiostoma floridae (Florida lancelet) is the source of this 540-nucleotide long non-coding RNA. RefSeq lists it as uncharacterized. The transcript has 3 exons. Lineage: Eukaryota; Metazoa; Chordata; Leptocardii; Amphioxiformes; Branchiostomatidae. The record is from RefSeq and is a predicted model, not a curated record.
GGGGGAUAAGGUAGACAAGUAGCCUGAGUAUCAUCCGUAUUCUACCGGGGCUCCUUACACUCGUUUUUUAGGGAAGUGAGUGUAAGGAGCCCCGGUAGAAAUAGGAUGGUACCCAGGCUAGGAGACAAGAAGAUGGGGACCUAAAUCAUUUUGAUUAGGAUUAGGGGCGUCUUCAGCUGCUGCUGCUUGGAGGGCAUCCUGCAGGUCACCCGGCAACGCUGGAGCAGGGGGGUUAGAAGAAGAGUCAUAAACCCAAAGGGCACGCCUGACGACUCGGUGGUCCGGUGUCGUCGAUAGAUGCUCCUGUUCCUCUGCCCCAGAGUCAUCUACUGAUGCUGUAUAUGGUAAAAUACACGGAAUAAACGGCAGAAACGUUGUUAAGGACAGCAUUAUUGAGGAUUAUCCAUGUUGCAUACUGUGUAGAUUGGCAAAAGAUCAUGUGAAUUCGUGGCUAUAAAGGAAUCCAUGCAUGCAUAGGGCGGUUGAGAUAUUGUGUUGCCUGGAGCAUGAAUACAGUACAUAGCUUUGGUGUCAUCGCCU